RNAcentral lists this ribosomal RNA (497 nucleotides) under uncultured bacterium. RNAcentral describes it as "partial 16S ribosomal RNA". It matches the Rfam family "Bacterial small subunit ribosomal RNA", at positions 28 to 507 of the family's 1533-position model. The record is from RNAcentral.
GACGAACGCUGGCGGCGUGCCUAAUACAUGCAAGUAGAACGCUGAAGAGCGGAGCUUGCUCUUCUUGGAUGAGUUGCGAACGGGUGAGUAACGCGUAGGUAACCUGCCUUGUAGCGGGGGAUAACUAUUGGAAACGAUAGCUAAUACCGCAUAACAAUGGAUGACACAUGUCAUUUAUUUGAAAGGGGCAAUUGCUCCACUACAAGAUGGACCUGCGUUGUAUUAGCUAGUAGGUGAGGUAAUGGCUCACCUAGGCGACGAUACAUAGCCGACCUGAGAGGGUGAUCGGCCACACUGGGACUGAGACACGGCCCAGACUCCUACGGGAGGCAGCAGUAGGGAAGCUUCGGCAAUGGGGGCAACCCUGACCGAGCAACGCCGCGUGAGUGAAGAAGGUUUUCGGAUCGUAAAGCUCUGUUGUAAGUCAAGAACGGGUGUGAGAGUGGAAAGUUCACACUGUGACGGUAGCUUACCAGAAAGGGACGGCUAACUACGUG